CUACGGGACGCUCCAGUGGGGAAUAUUGGACAAUGGGCGCAAGCCUGAUCCAGCAAUGCCGCGUGAGUGAAGACGGCCUUAGGGUUGUAAAACUCUUUCGCUAGGGAAGAUAAUGACUAUACCUAGUAAAGAAGUCCCGGCUAACUCCGUGCCAGCAGCCGCGGUAAUACGGAGGGGACUAGCGUUGUUCGGAAUUACUGGGCGUAAAGAGUUCGUAGGCGGACUGACAAGUUAGAGGUGAAAUCCCAGGGCUCAACCCUGGAACUGCCUUUAAAACUGUCAGUCUAGAGACCGGAAGAGGUUAGGGGAAUACCUAGUGUAGAGGUGAAAUUCGUAGAUAUUAGGUGGAACACCAGUGGCGAAGGCGCCUAACUGGUCCGGUACUGACGCUGAGGAACGAAAGCGUGGGGAGCAAACAGGAUUAGAUACCCGCGUAGUC
RNAcentral lists this ribosomal RNA (439 nucleotides) under uncultured bacterium. Its description in RNAcentral is "partial 16S ribosomal RNA". It matches the Rfam family "Bacterial small subunit ribosomal RNA", at positions 339 to 795 of the family's 1533-position model. The record is from RNAcentral.